Molecule: long non-coding RNA, 453 nt
Filed under: Brassica napus (rape)
Lineage: Eukaryota; Viridiplantae; Streptophyta; Magnoliopsida; Brassicales; Brassicaceae
Description: long non-coding RNA (BNAP_LNC000325)
Source: RNAcentral
UCGGUCCAUUUGACAAUUAAUAAAGAGUGUUCUAUUUUGUUCACCAUUAUGUACUAUAUUAUUUUUUUGUUCCAUUCUAUCUGGAUUUAGGAUAUAUACUUGGGUUUAGGGUUUAGGGGUUAGUGAUUAGGAUUUAGGAUUUCGUGAUUAGCAUUUAGGAUUUAGUAUUUGAAAGGUGGAGGCUCAAGUUUGGGUUUAGUGAUACCAAUUUAGGAUUUAAUAUUCAAAAGUUAUGUAUGAAUUUAACAUUUAAGAGUUGUGUGUUGGGUUAGUCAUAUAUUAUUUCUCAUAUGAAAUGAAACCAUCCUUUUAUUUUUCAUCAUGCACUAAAUUCAUUUCAGUUUCUACACUGUUACACUACAAGAAAACUCAAGCUUAACGAAGAAAAUUAACGAGGAAAAACAAACCUCGUAAAUUUACGUCAACUUUACGAGGAACUUACGUGAAAAAUAG